GUCUCGAGUCUCGAGGAUCUCGGGGCAAGACGGUGUGGACCCGCCGACUGUCCCCAUAGUACUCCGCAGAGGCGGCCCUGCGCAACAGCACCGGCCCGAUCCGGCCGCCAGUGUCUUAUUACGCACGUUGCGGCACUUACCGCACGCGAGGCUUUCGACGUGCACACGCGUGCUCUCUCUCACUCUCUCUCUCUCCUCUCUCUCUCGCUCGUCGAACACGAACGCGGAACGCGUCACACUCGCUGCUCACGCGCGUUUUUCCGCGAUGCACGCGCGACGCGACGCGCCGCGUGAACUUCUCCGCGGGUGAACGUUCGAAGGUCGUUCGUCGACGCGACUUCCCCCCGCGAGUCUGUGUCCCCGGGACGUGGAAAGCCCGAUUCUCCUUGUCUUGUCACUCGAGAUCGGGACAGUCGGAUCGAUCUCUCGCCGCCUGCCUCCGACAGAAAUCGAACGUCUCGAUAGCAGAUCGAAUCUGAUUUGAUGGUAGAUCGCAUUACAAUGGGAGGAUUGUAGAUUCUACGGAAGAAGACGCGUUGAUUACACGGGUGUCAAUUGUAAGAAUCUUCUUCUGAUCGUCUUUGGAAUUGUAAACAGCCUUCGGUCGCCUCCACCACCAGAGAGAACGUACGGACCACGAAUCCAACACGUCGAAGACGGCGCACGCCCGUUUCAAUACGUCCGAUCCGUGCGUAGUUGAUGAAAGAGCGCGGGGUUAUUUUCCCAUCGGACGACGAGUGGAUGAAAGGCGUCAUUAUGCAAAUGAUGGCACUUGGAGAUUGACGGACAGGGUUGCUUGCUUGUCCUCCGACAAUGCACGCGUGCGCCGGUAUUUCUGGACAGGAGUAGGACAAUCAAACGACGGCUCGCGCACGGCUGAUGAAAGGAUCGGUUGAUCUUGAUUAAUGGUGCUGGGAUUAAGUGCGUGUAACUUGAUCGACGGGGGAUUCCUUCAUUCGGCCAAGUGACGAAAUAUAUUAUUACCUGGUGUUUGUGUGCGCGCGCGCGUGUAUGUACGCGCGUGUAGGUGUGUGUGUGUGUGUAUGUGUACGCGGUGAAACUGACAGCUGGAAUUGUUCCGCGCGCCAGAGUCCGUGCAUGCCUGACGGGAUUUCUUGAUAAGUGGAUAAUUAAGCCUUAUUGGCGAACGCUUAAAGAAGCAAUUACUUCGUCUUAAUUAGUCGCCGUGUAACCCCGUGAUUUCGUCCGACAGGAAAAUUCGUACGACCUUAGUCGCGAAAGUGGAAUUGACAAUGUGAGACUCCGAAAUAAAGAGCUUGCAUUCGUACAGCUAACGUGAAUAACCGGCGUGCUGUUUUGCGUAAUCAAUGAGGAAUGUCAAAGUUCGACGAUGACUGUAUAUUCGCUCGAUAAAUCGUACGAAACGAAAGAUUGAUUUCUUGCGCUUCGAAAUGGGACACGAUCUCCUUAAAACACACUGAAACACGUGUCGUUAGAAUCAAUUAACCAUUAUUGGCUUGUGACGACGAUUUCUAUUUAAUGCACGUCUCAUCUCGAGACAAGGUAACGAAACAACGAUCAGUUAAAAAGCCAACUGAGAGGAGAGCGAGAUAAAAUUUCGAGAGAAGUCACCACGAUCGAGGUAAUCGACAAUCUAUCGAGAAGAGAAUUUGUCGCUACGUUCCGGAGAUUACGGCCGAGUUCGAGAUUGAAACUGCGUCCUCGCGAGAAAUUUUCAAAGAGGAUCAGGACAACGUUGUUAUUAAUAUCGCCCCGAAAUCGCGAUCGAACCAGCCGGCGUAAUUAAAGCGCGUACCCGUAAUCCGAUGGAGCUCGCGCAACGCUCAUACUUAAUUAGAUGAAUGAUAAUUAAUUAGACCGGCCAAGUGUCCGGGCGAUCGAACGAGUGUCGAUUAAUUAAAACGGAUCGCGCGAAUAUUUGCUUUCCGCGCGAACAAAUCGCCGUUCUCCGGCUGUGCGCGCGUCGCGAUUGUACUCGUUAACAGUGGAUACGUUGUUCGAAGAUAAUAUACUUUAAUAUACUUGAUACUUGCCUCGUAGAAUAUAAAAACAGAGAUUCUAAUCGAAAAAGAACGCGACAGCGCGUCUCUACAUCGCCGAUGGUAGAAGAUCCAGAGCCCUCGUCGCAAAAUGUAUCGGGGUCAGUCUGGAUGCCAUUCACGUUUCGCGCAACGAUCCGGCGAUCUUGCGUUGAGAUUCUUCGUCACGACUCCCACGACGUCCGCUGAGAACACGAAAAUGUCAACAGUCGCAACGUGACCGAGUUCGGCAAAACGCGACCGUGCCGGAGGGGGAAUGCAAUUCCAUCCGCGAUAAAACGUGGAACAGAUUCACUUGGAAACGGAGCGCGUGAACUUUCUCUCUCCCUCGGAUAACGCAUCUAGCCGGGGACAAUUCGGAGCGUGCCGGCUGUGGCGUCCGGCGUUUUCGAUUUUAUUUCGCUGCUCGCGGCGCGUAAUUCUGUCGAGCUUUCCAGACUUGUCCGAUUGCCGAUUGAUUUCAGUACGCGAAACAGCCGAACGUUUUAUCUACCGGCCGAGUCGGGAGCUGUAUUCUCCCUAUCGGCUUAGCGAAAACACGUCGCUGCCACUCUGAUUUAUUACAGAGGAAAGUAAUUUCAAAAAUAUUCGAAGAUUUUAUAAUACGAUCAGUAACAAGUGAACAUCUACUAUAUAUGGUCUCUGUUAUAUGGUUUAUAUAUUAGUGGAAUGAAAACACGUCGCUGAUUCAUUAUAAAAGAAAGUAAUUCUAAUAAUUUUCAAAGUAUUUGGAGAGCUCGUAAUACGAUCAGUAACAAGUGAACAGCCGCAGUAAUUGACACGUUCAUAAUUCAAUCGGUAAGCACUAGUUUCGAGAAAUCUGAAUAUUCGGAUUCCGGUCGAUAAGCAUUGAAAAUCCGAAUAUUCCGGUCGAUAAACGUUGGACCUGGGAAAAUCCGAUUAUUCGGAUGCCAGUCGGUAAAGUGUUAAGAUGUCGUAUGGCAACGACACGAUCUUAAACUUCUCUGUCAAAUUACUUCUGUCUCGGGUUGUUCGUGCGGAACGUUGAACGAUUUUACUAAUUCCAGGUUUCAGAAUCGAGUUUUCGAGAGAACACUAUUACAAAAAAGAUAUAAAUUCAAGGUUAGUCGUGGUAGGUAAGACAGAUUUUACUCCGAAAAAAAAAAAAGAAACAAUGAAUAUUGAAAAAUUCAUUGUAUGUGCACUAUGAGAGGAAGUGAGGUUAUAUGAUGUUGUACGUAAGAAAUUCUAAACGAAAUUUUCAAAUUGACCAGUCGUGUUAGGUUAGGUAGUGUUAAUCGAGAGCAGCUCGAGAGAUCGACGUUCGAUGUUUUCGUUCGACUAUCGCUCGCGGAAUGCUCGAAUGCGUUUCUCGAAACUGGUCUCCGGGAUUAACGACGCGAAAGUGAUCUCGUGAACGCGUGUGACGUACACGCGGCGAAGGACAGAGAGUUCGCUGGACAUGUUUAGACGAAAGUGACAGUGAUUAGUGAUCGUGUAUGGCGCACACUGCCGCGGCUCACGUGUCAUUUCGCAAAAUCGAGCGAAUCGUUGUGCAAAAGUGACCGGUGAAAGUGACUCUCGUCUGAAUUCACUCGGAUUGCAAGUACAAACGUGUGUUUAAUUUUAAUUUUCAACGUGUAGUUGUCACUGAGUUGUGCUCAUUUUCGUCUUUCUAUACGGUGGAACAAAAAUUUAGUUUCGAUGAUACAAUUUGACGAUUGAACGUCGUUCCGUGAUUCUGUGACUGGCAGUGGAGUUUUAUACGGUUUUUUUUUUCUUUUUUGUUUUGUGUUUGUGAAUUGACGAUUUCGUGCGCGAUCGUUACGAUGAGAAACGAGAAAAGGAAUGAUUGCUUUGGCACGUCACGCGUUGGACAGACAUUGGUCGACCGGUGGCGAACGAGACGGCGAGCAAUUAACGAAAUACGCAAUUAAAAGAGCGACUAGACGGGGAUAAUUGAAACAUCGAUGGGUGGAAAGGAGGAAGAGGAGGCUGGGGACGUAGCCGUCAAGAUGCCAGAGGCCACUCUGAAAAUAUUCAACGGAGUGCAGUAUAUGGGUUCGUUCCCUGUGGCAAUACCCGACAUUGCCAGCCGAGCUGAGUACGUACGCACCCAAUUGGAGAUCCUUCGA
Long non-coding RNA from Frieseomelitta varia, 4117 nucleotides. RefSeq lists it as uncharacterized. The transcript is spliced from 3 exons. The record is from RefSeq and is a predicted model, not a curated record. Lineage: Eukaryota; Metazoa; Arthropoda; Insecta; Hymenoptera; Apidae.